Molecule: long non-coding RNA, 582 nt
Filed under: Dromaius novaehollandiae (emu)
Lineage: Eukaryota; Metazoa; Chordata; Aves; Casuariiformes; Dromaiidae
Description: lncRNA (ENSDNVG00000014137.1)
Source: RNAcentral
AUAUCAUCAUGCUUUUCUGUUGCAGGAGUAGUCAUGGGGACUGUUCCACUUGCAGCAAUGUUGGGAUCAAUCAUCUGAGAAAAGAUCCUGGAGAGACGAGGCAACGUAUUUUCCAUUUCUGAUGUCAGGAUUUGUUCUGUGAAACUGACCUUUAAAGCAGCCUGAAAAUGAGGAACGUGGCACCAGAGAGCAGAUCAGGAAGCAUGAAAUGAUCAGGCUAACAGCAUGAGAUGGACAAAAUCCCAGCCUUAUGCUUCAAGCAAGUCAGAUCAGCCAUUGGUGUGUGGAAAGCCUUGUUUGCGGAAAUGCUGAAAUUUCUGGGCCAGACGUGAACUUAGCACUAGAAUCUGGAAGAGUUCUCAGACAGUAACACAACUGUUGUUUGCAGAUUGCUUGAAUCUUGACUCUACCAGGGAAAUAUUGUUGAGUACUUUAUACAACAGCUAUAAGGAAGACCUGAUGUGAACAUUGUUCACAAGUCUGCAAGAAAAAAACUCAACCAACCAGCAUUUCAUUUUAUGACCUGAAAAUUAUCCACUGCUGUAAGUAGAAUAAAACAGUUUUGCAAGUAUUUUUGGCUCA